Pygocentrus nattereri (red-bellied piranha) is the source of this 215-nucleotide small nucleolar RNA. Ensembl annotates it as ACEA small nucleolar RNA U3. The record is from Ensembl. Lineage: Eukaryota; Metazoa; Chordata; Actinopteri; Characiformes; Serrasalmidae.
AAGACUAUGCUUUCAGGGAUCAUUUCUAUAGUUUCUGAUUUGGAAGUUUGAUUUGAAAGUGUAACGUCUCUCUAACCACGAUGACGAGUUAAGAUGCUUUCUUCUGAGCGUGAAUCGGGUGGUGAGCGACGAGCGAGAUUGUCUGCUCUCUGUCAUUGAUGAACAUUCCUGCUGUGCUUUGCAGUCUGGAAGAAGAAAGCAUGUUCAGAGUGGUU